RNAcentral lists this ribosomal RNA (253 nucleotides) under uncultured bacterium. RNAcentral's name for it is "partial 16S ribosomal RNA". It matches the Rfam family "Bacterial small subunit ribosomal RNA", at positions 524 to 776 of the family's 1533-position model. The record is from RNAcentral.
UACGGAGGGUGCAAGCGUUGUCCGGAUUUAUUGGGUUUAAAGGGUGCGUAGGUGGCCCGUUAAGUCCGGGGUGAAAGCCCACUGCUCAACAGUGGAACUGCCCUGGAUACUGGCGGGCUUGAGUCCAGACGAGGUUGGCGGAAUGGAUGGUGUAGCGGUGAAAUGCAUAGAUAGCAUCCAGAACCCCGAUUGCGUAGGCAGCUGACUAGGCUGGUACUGACACUGAGGCACGAAAGCGUGGGGAGCGAACAGG